This 393-nucleotide ribosomal RNA is filed under the name uncultured bacterium. RNAcentral's name for it is "bacterial SSU rRNA". It matches the Rfam family "Bacterial small subunit ribosomal RNA", at positions 32 to 402 of the family's 1533-position model. The record is from RNAcentral.
AAUCAACGCUGGCGGCGUGCCUCAGACAUGCAAGUCGAACGCGAAAGUCCCCUUCGGGGGACAAGUAGAGUGGCGCACGGGUGAGUAACACGUAGGUAAUCUACCUUCGGAUGGGGAAUAACAACCGGAAACGGUUGCUAAUACCGCAUAAUGCAGCGGCACCUAAUGGUGACAGUUGUUAAAGCGGGGGGAUCGAAAGACCUCGCGUCUGAAGAGGAGCCUGCGGCGGAUUAGCUAGNGGUAAGGUAAUGGCUUACCAAGGCGACGAUCCGUAGCCGGCCUGAGAGGGCGGUCGGCCACACUGACACUGACAUACGGGUCAGACUCCGUACGGGAGGCAGCAGGUCGGGAAUUUUGGGCAAUGGGCGAAAGCCUGACCCAGCAACGCCGCGU